AAAAGACUGGUUCCUAUAUGAUCACUGAAGUUAAGCAAUGUUGAGCCUGGUUGGUACUUCAUUGGGAGACAUCUUCUGAAUAACAGGUGCUGUAUG
Acanthosepion pharaonis is the source of this 96-nucleotide non-coding RNA. NCBI's taxonomy places the organism in Eukaryota, Metazoa, Mollusca, Cephalopoda, Sepiida, Sepiidae. The record is from the annotation of a GenBank genome assembly.